This 464-nucleotide ribosomal RNA is filed under the name uncultured bacterium. RNAcentral's name for it is "partial 16S ribosomal RNA". It matches the Rfam family "Bacterial small subunit ribosomal RNA", at positions 339 to 795 of the family's 1533-position model. The record is from RNAcentral.
CUACGGGCCGCUGCAGUGGGGAAUAUUGCACAAUGGGCGCAAGCCUGAUGCAGCCAUGCCGCGUGUAUGAAGAAGGCCUUCGGGUUGUAAAGUACUUUCAGCGGGGAGGAAGGGAGUAAAGUUAAUACCUUUGCUCAUUGACGUUACCCGCAGAAGAAGCACCGGCUAACUCCGUGCCAGCAGCCGCGGUAAUACGGAGGGUGCAAGCGUUAAUCGGAAUUACUGGGCGUAAAGCGCACGCAGGCGGUUUGUUAAGUCAGAGGUGAAAUCCCCGGGCUCAACCUGGGAACUGCAUCUGAUACGGGCAAGCGUGAGUCUCGUAGAGGGGGGUAGAAUUCCAGGUGUAGCGGUGAAAUGCGUAGAGAUCUGGAGGAAUACCGGUGGCGAAGGCGGCCCCCUGGACGAAGACUGACGCUCAGGUGCGAAAGCGUGGGGAGCAAACAGGAUUAGAUACCCGAGUAGUC